AAAAAUUUGACUGAGAAAAUCGCUGAAAACAAUUAUUCGCGUCUGAUUUUGCAGUGUUGAACCGCUGCUUUAUUAUCAACUGGCAAAAUACCCAAUAUUAUAAACAAGUGUAAAAAAACUGAUGUUCCAGAUAAAGUGGUUAUAUGGGUUUUAUUAAACUGAUAAAUCGCCGGUUUCGGUCAGUUUUAAGAUGAGCUGGUGAAAAUGAUUUUGUACUUUUGUCUUUUUUUUACGCGGUUUUUUGAGAAUGGUUUCGAAUAGUCGUCAACUUUUCGAAGUAACUGUAAAAUGUGAUGUGUAGUGACUCUGACUUUGGUGUAUUAUUUUAGGAAAAUAGUAGACUUUUUUGCUCCAACAAUUUUUCGGGCUGUUCCAUCCUUGCAAACGGGUUCGAAUUUCACUCGUAGAUGGAAAGCUGGACUUAUGGAAGUGCCCUCUUCAUUGGUGGCUUCACAAGCAUACUGACCAGAACUACUUCGGCUGACACCCUGGAAUCAACAAUUUCCAGGUACCGCAAGUUGAUGUAACUUGCGAGUUUCGGUGGAACCUGCCACCUAAGCUUCCAUUCCCAUUGGAACCAUUAACUAGGAUCCGCUGAUGCCAAUGUUAAUAAUGUUAAUAAUGUUAAUUAAUAUAGGUACAAGUCAAUUUCAUGUAUUGUAUAAAUGCUUUUUUCUGUCAACUUUUGUAAAAUGUAAAAAAUAAACUGUUUAGAAAAUA
Dendroctonus ponderosae (mountain pine beetle) is the source of this 720-nucleotide long non-coding RNA. RefSeq lists it as uncharacterized. The transcript has 3 exons. The record is from RefSeq and is a predicted model, not a curated record. Lineage: Eukaryota; Metazoa; Arthropoda; Insecta; Coleoptera; Curculionidae.